UAGAAAUAAAUUGAGGCUUGCACCCUGAAACGAUAAAUUCCACAAUCGUGCUAUUGAUGCGCCCCAUUCGAAUAUAUAGAUUCAAAGACCUUAACCUGCUGUGCAGUCUAGAAUCAAUGGUUCGGGAGUUGUCGGCUCCAUCUCACAAAGGCUAUACUUCACAGGAUCAUCGGCUUAUGAUCUGUUGAAGUAAAUUUCAAACCGUAAACUCGAUAAAUAUGUGCACUUCAAUCAAAUUUGUUUAAAAAAAUUGAGUGAAUAUAUUUAGUAGGUAAUAUGAUACCUGUCAAAGAUUUUAUAUAUAGUUUUAGAAUGUUGUAUCUGACGGAACUCCUCUACAGGUUAGGCAUAUUCUAACCUAAUUGGCGUUUUAGUACCGUACCAGCACAAAAAGGAGUUUUAACUAUCAGGAACCAGUUAUUAAAGAAAAAUGGACCGCCUUUUAACGAUAUGUAUGUGCAUUAUUUACUAUUUAAUUUUGAUAUUUAGGAAGUGCAAAUGGCAUAUGUGCGCGUUAAAGAAAAAACUCUCAAUCGAAAUUAAUAAGGAAGGGAAACAAAAUAUCACAUACACCUGCCUGCAUUUACUUUUACCCAAUGUUUCAGUACUUCCGCGCUAGCCACCGCGUACUAUCAAGACCUGAUUGCAAUCACUGCUGCUGUUGCCACUAUUGAUGAUAUUGCUGCUGCAAGCUCGUUUCGUAUUUACUGCUGUUGAAAUCUCGCUGAAGACUCUAGACGUUAAGGAAGCCAAUAACUCAGCCUGAUGUCGGUGAAAUUGGGGCGCCCUUUUUGUUACGCUGAACUGCUUCUAUCCUCCUUUAUUUUGCCGUUUUUUGUAUACUCUUUAUUCGUGGUAUUUUCUUUGAAUAUUAUCUUACAUUCUUUUCUAGGCGCGAACUUAAAAUAUGGUUUAUGUUUUUUUAUUUAAGUGAAAAUAUUUGCGUUUAACUAAAUAACCACACUUCUUCCUUACUUCUGUUCUUCGUUCUUCAACUUUCGUUCACGGCGUUUAUGCAUUCCAUUACCAUUCGUUGUUGUGUUGUUGAGAAAAUUGUUUUGUAUACAUUGGUGAAAACCGUCGUUGAAAACUGGUAACAGUGAUGCCAUCUCAAAUGAAAUAAUAUUGUUAUGAAAAUCAAGAAAAAUUGUUAAUGUCUACAAUCAAUUUAAAAUGUUUACGCAUUAUUAUGAUUGGUUUUAAUUAAUUGGAGAAAUUAUGUAUAAUAAGCCGCGAUAGUUGUUUGUAAUAUUUUAUAUUUUGGCACAAUUUUUGAAAAGUCUUAAAAAAUA
This is a non-coding RNA of Bactrocera oleae (olive fruit fly), 1292 nucleotides long. NCBI's taxonomy places the organism in Eukaryota, Metazoa, Arthropoda, Insecta, Diptera, Tephritidae. The record is from RefSeq and is a predicted model, not a curated record.